Molecule: ribosomal RNA, 628 nt
Filed under: uncultured Clostridium sp.
Lineage: Bacteria; Bacillati; Bacillota; Clostridia; Eubacteriales; Clostridiaceae
Description: bacterial SSU rRNA
Rfam family: Bacterial small subunit ribosomal RNA
Source: RNAcentral
AGUCGAGCGAGUGGAGUUCUUCGGAACAAAACUAGCGGCGGACGGGUGAGUAACACGUGGGCAACCUGCCUCAUAGAGGGGAAUAGCCUCCCGAAAGGGAGAUUAAUACCGCAUAAGAUUGUAGCUUCGCAUGAAGUAGCAAUUAAAGGAGCAAUCCGCUAUGAGAUGGGCCCGCGGCGCAUUAGCUAGUUGGUGAGGUAACGGCUCACCAAGGCGACGAUGCGUAGCCGACCUGAGAGGGUGAUCGGCCACAUUGGGACUGAGACACGGCCCAGACUCCUACGGGAGGCAGCAGUGGGGAAUAUUGCACAAUGGGGGAAACCCUGAUGCAGCAACGCCGCGUGAGUGAUGACGGCCUUCGGGUUGUAAAGCUCUGUCUUCAGGGGCGAUAAUGACGGUACCUGAGGAGGAAGCCACGGCUAACUACGUGCCAGCAGCCGCGGUAAUACGUAGGUGGCGAGCGUUGUCCGGAUUUACUGGGCGUAAAGGGAGCGUAGGCGGACUUUUAAGUGAGAUGUGAAAUACCCGGGCUCAACUUGGGUGCUGCAUUUCAAACUGGAAGUCUAGAGUGCAGGAGAGGAGAAUGGAAUUCCUAGUGUAGCGGUGAAAUGCGUAGAGAUUAGGAAGA